Molecule: long non-coding RNA, 779 nt
Organism: Melospiza melodia melodia
Lineage: Eukaryota; Metazoa; Chordata; Aves; Passeriformes; Passerellidae
Exons: 3
Source: RefSeq, a predicted model, not a curated record
GCUGAUCUGAAUAAGAAAAAAAAAACAAAAGCAAGAGAAAAAAAAGGAUGGUUUAUUAUUUUUUACGCUGUUAUGUUUGUUUCCUCAGUAUUUGCUGCAGCUCUGCUUACCCAAGCUUUGGGUUCCUUCUGUCCCACUGGGAGUUGCCCAAUUUGGUUGCAUCUGGUGAAAUUCACCCUGAGACCUUACAGAACCAGCUCCAACUACGUGAGAGCCAUUUGCAGUUCUCUCCAGACGCCUGGAGAAUGGGCGACGUUUCUGAGGAUCCGGCGAGCGUGCUUCUGUCAAAACUCAGUCUGUGAAAUUCCUGGGGAAAACCCUUCUGUGUCCUGAAGGGUUCAAACUCUGGUGAGGAUCCAGUUAUCAGGUGCUCACCUGGAUGGUUCCAGCUCCCAAAGGGAAAGACUCUCGUGUCCUUGUCGUCGGGCUCGGUGCUGUCCAAGAAGAUACGGGGACUAAAAAAAUCAUAAGAAGCAAAAUAGGACUGCAGGGAAAAGAAGCUGGAGAGAACAGAAGACUCAUCACGGCGGGACAGCGUGAAGACUGAAAGUGUAAGAAGAUGUGGAGGGAAAGAGAGAAUCUGACAGGAGCAUCGGACGCACGAGUGCACGAAUUUUGCUUUUUUGCUUGGAUGUAAACUCAGGCGUUGAAAGGAAUUUGGGAGUGAGAAGGGACAUUUCAGAAGGAGAAGAAGCAAAAGAAGUUGUUGUUACAGUCCUGGCAAAAUCUUUUGUUCUAGCUAAUAAAAGAAGUUAGUUUAAAAAACAAAAAGGAAAAAA